GUAGGUGGCAAGCGUUGUCCGGAAUUAUUGGGCGUAAAGCGCGCGCAGGCGGUUCUUUAAGUCUGAUGUGAAAGCCCACGGCUCAACCGUGGAGGGUCAUUGGAAACUGGAGAACUUGAGUACAGAAGAGGAAAGCGGAAUUCCACGUGUAGCGGUGAAAUGCGUAGAGAUGUGGAGGAACACCAGUGGCGAAGGCGGCUUUCUGGUCUGUAACUGACGCUGAGGCGCGAAAGCGUGGGGAGCAAACAGGAUUAGAUACCCUGGUAGUCCACGCCGUAAACGAUGAGUGCUAAGUGUUAGGGGGGUUUUCCGCCCCCCUUAGUGCUGCAGCUAACGCAUUAAGCACUCCGCCUGGGAGUACGACCGCAAGGUUG
RNAcentral lists this ribosomal RNA (374 nucleotides) under uncultured organism. RNAcentral describes it as "partial 16S ribosomal RNA". It matches the Rfam family "Bacterial small subunit ribosomal RNA", at positions 527 to 896 of the family's 1533-position model. The record is from RNAcentral.